CCAGACUCCUACGGGAGGCAGCAGUGGGGAAUAUUGCACAAUGGGGGGAACCUUGAUGCAGCAACGCCGCGUGGGUGAAGAAGUACUCCGGUAUGUAAAGCCCUGUCAGCAGGGAAGAAAAUGACGGUACCUGACCAAGAAGCCCCGGCUAACUACGUGCCAGCAGCCGCGGUAAUACGUAGGGGGCAAGCGUUAUCCGGAUUUACUGGGUGUAAAGGGGGCGCAGACGGCGAUGCAAGCCAGGAGUGAAAGCCCGGGGCCCAACCCCGGGACUGCUCUUGGAACUGCGUGGCUGGAGUGCAGGAGGGGCAGGCGGAAUUCCUGGUGUAGCGGUGAAAUGCGUAGAUAUUAGGAGGAACACCAGUGGCGAAGGCGGUUUACUGGACUGUAACUGACGUUGAGGCUCGAAAGCGUGGGGAGCAAACAGGAUUAGAUACCCUGGUA
This 444-nucleotide ribosomal RNA is filed under the name uncultured bacterium. RNAcentral describes it as "bacterial SSU rRNA". It matches the Rfam family "Bacterial small subunit ribosomal RNA", at positions 331 to 792 of the family's 1533-position model. The record is from RNAcentral.